RNAcentral lists this non-coding RNA (23 nucleotides) under Arabidopsis thaliana (thale cress). The record is from RNAcentral. Lineage: Eukaryota; Viridiplantae; Streptophyta; Magnoliopsida; Brassicales; Brassicaceae.
UUAUGGGGCCACUAAAAUUUUAU